UACGAAGGGGGCUAGCGUUGCUCGGAAUCACUGGGCGUAAAGCGCACGUAGGCGGCUUUAGUAGUAGGGUGAAAUCCUGGAGCUCAACUCCAGAACUGCCUUUGAUACUGGCACUUGAGUCCGGGAGAGGUGAGUGGAACUGCGAGUGUAGAGGUGAAAUUCGUAGAUAUUCGCAAAGAACACCAGUGGCGAAGGCGGCUCACUGGCCCGGUACUGACGCUGAGGUGCGAAAGCGUGGGGAGCAAACAGGGAU
RNAcentral lists this ribosomal RNA (253 nucleotides) under uncultured bacterium. RNAcentral's name for it is "partial 16S ribosomal RNA". It matches the Rfam family "Bacterial small subunit ribosomal RNA", at positions 524 to 779 of the family's 1533-position model. The record is from RNAcentral.